UGAGGAAUAUUGGUCAAUGGGCGCAAGCCUGAACCAGCCAUGCCGCGUGCAGGAUGACGGCUCUAUGAGUUGUAAACUGCUUUUGUACGAGAAUAACGGUGUUUACGUGUAGACAUAUGAAUGUAUCGUACGAAUAAGGAUCGGCUAACUCCGUGCCAGCAGCCGCGGUAAUACGGAGGAUUCGAGCGUUAUCCGGAUUUAUUGGGUUUAAAGGGUGCGUAGGCGGUUAGGUAAGUUAGAGGUGAAAGGUCAGGGCUUAACCCUGGGACUGCCUCUGAUACUGUCUGACUGGAGAAUAGAUGC
Molecule: ribosomal RNA, 303 nt
Filed under: uncultured bacterium
Lineage: Bacteria
Description: bacterial SSU rRNA
Rfam family: Bacterial small subunit ribosomal RNA
Source: RNAcentral